This 499-nucleotide ribosomal RNA is filed under the name uncultured bacterium. RNAcentral describes it as "bacterial SSU rRNA". It matches the Rfam family "Bacterial small subunit ribosomal RNA", at positions 29 to 509 of the family's 1533-position model. The record is from RNAcentral.
AGUUAACGCUGGCGGCGUGCCUAACACAUGCAAGUCGAGCGAAGUAACUGGCGUAGCAAUACGAUAAGUGCUGAGCGGCAGACGGGUGAGUAAUACGUAGACAACCUUCCUCUUUAAGGGGGAUAGCCCACCGAAAGGUGGGGUAAGUACCGCGUACGAUCGAGAGUCGGCAUCGAUUCUUGAUGAAACAUCCGCAAGGAUGGUAGAGAGACGGGUCUACGGCCUAUCAGCUAGUUGGUGAGGUAACGGCUCACCAAGGCAAAGACGGGUAACCGGCCUGAAAGGGUGGACGGUCACACUGACACUGAGACACGGGUCAGACACCUACGGGUGGCAGCAGUGAGGAAUCUUGGACAAUGGGGGCGAACCCUGAUCCAGCGACGCCGCGUGAAGGAUGAAGGUCUUCGGAUUGUAAACUUCUUUUCUCUGGGAAUAAUAAAUCGAUAGAAAUAUCGAGAUUGAAUGUACCAGAGGAAUAAGCCACGGCUAACUUCGUGCC